ACGAGUCCUUUUGGCCAGUUUUUCUGUUUCUUUUAGUGUUUUCUCUUCCUCUGUUUAUCCUGUAGAUAUUUCUUAUUCUCCAGGGUUCUAUCUUGAAACAGCAUUUUCUUUUCUUACUCACCCAUGGUUUCAAAUACUGUUUCUACACUAAUUGUCCCAAGCCUUGAUUUCCUGUCCAAAUUCCGAUGCAGAACUCCGGACUCUACGUUCGGUUUCCUCAACAUCUGAGUUGAACAUGUCCAAAGCUUAUCACCUUCCAUUCUGAUCUUCUCCCGUCAUGAAUUCCCUCCUGUGGUAGAUGGCAUUGGCACCAAGCUGGUUGCCCGUGUUGUCAAUAGUCGACAGAACCUCCCCAACCUCGGCCCCCUGCUGAGAACCGCAAUGUCCACUCACAGAGGUGAGUCCUGUGGCCCCUCCCCCAGCUAGCGAUGGCUGGCUUUAGGCGGAUGCUUUACCCAAUCUGGAUCAAUCAGAUUCUCUCCCAGGACUUUCUUCAGCCAUUACUGAUGCUUCAACUAGAGCUGGUGCAGCUACAUGCACGGAGAAGAGUAGAGAGUUGGUCUACAGAGAGAGCUGGAAGUUGAUCGCGAGGAGAAGCAGAGAGUAGAAGGUAUGGCCUUGCACCCUGCCCCUGCUCCUCAGCUGCCUGUGCCUGGCCUGCGCGCAAGCUGUCCCUGGGUCACCACUCUCUGGCUAUAAAGCAGUUUCCUUCUAAACUUUUGUCAUUAAUUCCUGUAUUAAAUUCCCUCAACAUCUAACAUGAGUUUUGUGUUCCUGGCUGGACCCUGACUAUUGUAAACAUCUUUGCAAAUAAGCACCUGGAGAUCCACAUAAGCUAUUUUAAGAGCUGCCUAUGCUUCGCUGUGUGAAUUCCCACCACCUAAUCAUUUCGCUGUUGAUGAACAUUUAACUUGUUUCCGAGUUUUUUGCCGCUACAGUUAGUGCUGUAAUGAACAUCUUUGCGUAUAUAUGUGUUGAAUGGGAUGAAGUGAAACUGCUAGAGAUAGUAUUGUUAGUCAAAAAAUGGGUAUGUAUUUUUUAAUUUUAAUACUAUUGUCACAUUUCUGCCACAGUUUAUACCAAUUUAUACUUUCAGCAACUGUGCAUUAGAAUGCUUGUUCCCCUGCCCCCUGGCCAACUCUGCCCAUCUCACGGGUGAAAAAUAUUUCAUUGUUUUAAUUUGCGUUUCUUUAAGUUCUCAGUGAGAUUGGGUAUCUUUUCCUACACUUACUGGCCAUUUGCAUUUCUUUUUCUGUGAACUACCGUGUAACUCAUUUUAUGUCUGCUUUUUUCACCUAAUAUUAUAUAGCAUGACCUUUAUCUAGAACAAUAAUAAAAAGCCACAUCGUCAGUAGGACUGCAUACUAUUCCAUCCUAUGACUGUACCAUAAUUAUUCUUUUAUUAUUGUAUAUUUAGAUUGUUUCCAGUUUUCUUCUUAACACUUACAAAUUCUCACAUGAGGAAUUAGGGGACAUAAGGGGGUUGUGUGUGUGUGUGUUUAAGGCUUUUGAUGUACAGUACCAGGUUGCCCAAAAGAAAGUUCACCCCAGUUUGCACUCUACCAGUAGACUAUGAGGGAACCCAUUUCCCCAUAUAAAGCGUAUUCAGCCAAGAGGUAACUUCUGGAGUUUGCACCAUGAACUCCACAGGCGAGAUGAGCCCCUGAGCUGCUGCCCAAGGAGUCUCCAGACUUGCAGGGUUGGGGCCACUCAGGUCUCCAGCAAGAGCAGUUUCCUUUGUCCAUCGCUGUGAAGUUGGAACUACAGACCAACAUGCUCUCCUUCAUCCCGCUGCUGUCUCCUGAGCGUCUGUUGUGGGCCGCAGGCUCUCUCCUGCCCUAGAGCUCUCCCGUCAACACUGGAGAGGAAAUCAUAGUGUUUAGAAGCUGCUCGGGUUUUGGAGAAAGCCCACUUACGAGCUGUGUGAACUUAGGCAAGUUGCUGAAUUUCUCUGAGCCUCAGUUUUCUCUUGCAUACAAUUGAGAUUGUAAAACUGAUGUCAGAGGACUGCCUGGCACACAGUAGGUUUCAGUGGAGAGAUUAAAAGUGUGGGCUCUGGAGGUGGCUACGCAGUUGAAUCGUGGCUCCACAGCUCACUGACUUUGUGACCACAGCACCAUAGUUAACCUCUCUGAGCCUUACCUUCCUCACAUUGAGAGUGGGUAUAAUCAUACUCGCCUCAUAACGUUUUGGAGAAGAUGAUACAUGUAAAGAACUUAGCACAGACCUGGAACCUGGCAAGUGCUCAAUUAAUGUGUUAUUUUUUAAAUAGCUUUAUUGAAAUGUAAUUUACAUAUUGCUAUGAGCUGAAUUCUGUCCCCCCAAAUUCUUAUAUGUUGAAGUCCUAACCCCUACUACAUCAGAAUGGAACCAUAUUUAGAGAUAAGGUCUCUAAAGAUGUAAUUAAAUUAAAAUGAGGUCAUUAGGGUGAACCCUAACCCAACAUGACUGGUAUCAUUCUAAGAAGAGGACAUUUGGACACAGACAUGUGCAGAGGGACGAUGAUGUGAAGAUGAAGUGGGGAGACGACCAUCCACAAGUCAAGGGGAGAGGCCUGGACCAGCUUCUCCCUCAUGGCCUCAGAGGGAUGGACCAGCUUCUCCCUCAUGGCCUCAGAGGGAUGGACCAGCUUCUCCCUCAUGGCCUCAGAGGGAUGGACCAGCUUCUCCCUCAUGGCCUCAGAGGGAUGGACCAGCUUCUCCCUCAUGGCCUAAGAGGGAUGGACCAGCUUCUCCCUCAUGGCCUCAGAGGGAUGGACCAGCUUCUCCCUCAUGGCCUCACAAGGAUGGACCAGCUUCUCCCUCAUGGCCUCAGAGGGAUGGACCAGCUUCUCCCUCAUGGCCUCACAAGGAUGGACCAGCUUCUCCCUCAUGGCCUCACAAGGAUGGACCAGCUUCUCGCUCAUGGCCUCAGAUGGAGCUGAACUUGCCAACACCUUGAUCCCAGACUUCCAGCCUCCAGAACUGUGAGAGAAUCAAUUUGUGUUGUUGAAGCCCCCAGUCUGUGGUGUUUUCUAUGCAGCCCUAGCAAACUGAUACACAUACCAUGAAAUUCACCCAUUUUAGUGUAUACUUCAAUGAUUCUUGGUAAAUUAACAGAGUUCUGCAAUCUAAUAUUAGAAUAUUUUCAUCACUCCUUAAAGAAACCUUGUCCCCAUUUGCAGUCACCCCCAAUUCCCACCUUCAGCCCCAGGCAACUGCUAAUUUUCUCUCUCUCUCUGUAGAUUUGCCUUUUCUGGACAUUUCCAUAUAAAUCAUCUCCAAUGAUUAGGGAAUUUUAUAUAGUAAGAGUCAGCCCAUUCUGUAUCCUGAUUAUUUUUUAAACUUCUUAUAAUGAGCCCAAAUCUAUUGCCCCAUAACUUCUACACAGUAACAUGUUCCUAUUCUAGUUUAUUUGUAACAUAAGACGAAACUUGUGAUGUGUACCGCAGAAGAAUGGGAUUGAAGUAUUCGGUCAGAAUGGCCAUUAUAAAUUAAGAAAUUAUCACUUUGUUUUUAGCAGUCAAUAAGGAAAAAGACUGACAAAAAGAGACUAUGAGGGAAAGUGCUGGGGUUUUCUGUUGUGGGGUUUUUUUGGUGAGGAAAAUUGUUGCGGAGCUAACAUCUCUGCCAAUCCUCCGCUAUUUUGUAUGUGGGAUGCCACCACAGCAUGGCUUGAUGACUGGCACUAGGACUGUGCCUAGGAUCCAAACCACCAACCCCAGGCCGGAAGUGGAACGCAGGACUUUAACCACCCUGCCACGGGGCCAACCCCCCGAAAGUGCUGUUUUGAGUUGUGGGAGGACAGAGACAAUAGAACCGCUAAGGAGGACGUUUCCCCUGCUGAGACCUAAGCUGAGGAGCUGUUCCCUGGGCAGCUCAGCACCUCCAGUAACUCCAGUAACUCGGGGAUGUUCCAUCAAGACCACAGUGGGGGCCACACUGAUGGCAGGGCGUGGAGCUGCCCAGACUUGUGGAGGCUGCUCAGGGACGGGGCCUCGUGCACUGCUGUUGUGGAGAAGAUGCCUUUCGAUGAAAUCUAUCUGCGUCAUCAUGUGAACACUGCAAAGGAAGGCGUCUGCUUUUCUGCCCUGGAAAAGUUGACCCCGCUAACCUUCCCACUCACCGUGACAGUGAAUUGAAGCUGGGCGUGGCCGUGCCUAUGCACGGUCUCAUGUUGCAAAUAUAUCAACUGCAAGAGAGUGGAUCUUGGAGUCAGAGAAGCAAUGGCAGCCCGAGAGGUAGCCUGCGGUGGGCGGGGAGGCUCAAGGCCCCCUGAUCUUCAUCACGACCUUGACCUAACCCAGAUGAAUAUGCGAAGUGGAGCGAUGAGCUGGCUACGCAAACACAGCCUCAAGAAAAUCCCUUGCCCACGUUCCCAUCAGACGCUGCCUGACUCUUCUAAUACAAAAUUUUGGAGCCUCUGUUACAGGCCUAAUUGAAUCCUGCUCUCCCACUUAUCAACUUAGAAAUAACAUGAGUUAUUUCACACCCAUAAACUUCAUUUAUCUACUCUGUAAAUUGACAUGACAUUACCCAUCUCAUAAGAUCAUCAUCACUCUCAAUCGAGCUAAUGCUUACAAAUUGCAUGUUUGACAUUUUCUAUUCAUUUGCAAAACUCAAAUAUAUAAACAACAAUCGCA
Equus caballus (horse) is the source of this 4621-nucleotide non-coding RNA. NCBI's taxonomy places the organism in Eukaryota, Metazoa, Chordata, Mammalia, Perissodactyla, Equidae. The record is from RefSeq and is a predicted model, not a curated record.